UUUGGUUAAGUUAGAAAGGGCGCACGGUGGAUGCCUUGACACUAGGAGUCGAUGAAGGACGGGACUAACGCCGAUAUGCUUCGGGGAGCUGUAAGUAAGCUUUGAUCCGAAGAUUUCCGAAUGGGGAAACCCACUAUACGUAAUGGUAUGGUAUCCUUACCUGAAUACAUAGGGUAUGGAAGACAGACCCAGGGAACUGAAACAUCUAAGUACCUGGAGGAAGAGAAAGCAAAUGCGAUUUCCUGAGUAGCGGCGAGCGAAACGGAAUCUAGCCCAAACCAAGAGGCUUGCCUCUUGGGGUUGUAGGACAUUCUAUACGGAGUUACAAAGGAACGAGGUAGACGAAGCGACCUGGAAAGGUCCGUCGUAGAGGGUAACAACCCCGUAGUCGAAACUUCGUUCUCUCUUGAAUGUAUCCUGAGUACGGCGGAACACGUGAAAUUCCGUCGGAAUCUGGGAGGACCAUCUCCCAAGGCUAAAUACUCCCUAGUGAUCGAUAGUGAACCAGUACCGUGAGGGAAAGGUGAAAAGCACCCCGGAAGGGGAGUGAAAGAGAUCCUGAAACCGUGUGCCUACAAAUAGUCAGAGCCCGUUAAUGGGUGAUGGCGUGCCUUUUGUAGAAUGAACCGGCGAGUUACGAUCCCGUGCAAGGUUAAGUUGAAGAGACGGAGCCGCAGCGAAAGCGAGUCUGAAUAGGGCGUUUAGUACGUGGUCGUAGACCCGAAACCAGGUGAUCUACCCAUGUCCAGGGUGAAGUUCAGGUAACACUGAAUGGAGGCCCGAACCCACGCACGUUGAAAAGUGCGGGGAUGAGGUGUGGGUAGCGGAGAAAUUCCAAUCGAACCUGGAGAUAGCUGGUUCUCCCCGAAAUAGCUUUAGGGCUAGCCUUAAGUGUAAGAGUCUUGGAGGUAGAGCACUGAUUGAACUAGGGGUCCUCAUCGGAUUACCGAAUUCAGUCAAACUCCGAAUGCCAAUGACUUAUCCUUAGGAGUCAGACUGCGAGUGAUAAGAUCCGUAGUCAAGAGGGAAACAGCCCAGAUCGCCAGCUAAGGUCCCAAAGUGUGUAUUAAGUGGAAAAGGAUGUGGAGUUGCUUAGACAACUAGGAUGUUGGCUUAGAAGCAGCCACCAUUUAAAGAGUGCGUAAUAGCUCACUAGUCGAGUGACUCUGCGCCGAAAAUGUACCGGGGCUAAAUACACCACCGAAGCUGCGAAUUGAUACCAAUGGUAUCAGUGGUAGGGGAGCGUUCUAAGUGCAGUGAAGUCAGACCGGAAGGACUGGUGGAGCGCUUAGAAGUGAGAAUGCCGGUAUGAGUAGCGAAAGACGGGUGAGAAUCCCGUCCACCGAAUGCCUAAGGUUUCCUGAGGAAGGCUCGUCCGCUCAGGGUUAGUCAGGACCUAAGCCGAGGCCGACAGGCGUAGGCGAUGGACAACAGGUUGAUAUUCCUGUACCACCUCUUUAUCGUUUGAGCAAUGGAGGGACGCAGAAGGAUAGAAGAAGCGUGCGAUUGGUUGUGCACGUCCAAGCAGUUAGGCUGAUAAGUAGGCAAAUCCGCUUAUCGUGAAGGCUGAGCUGUGAUGGGGAAGCUCCUUAUGGAGCGAAGUCUUUGAUUCCCCGCUGCCAAGAAAAGCUUCUAGCGAGAUAAAAGGUGCCUGUACCGCAAACCGACACAGGUAGGCGAGGAGAGAAUCCUAAGGUGUGCGAGAGAACUCUGGUUAAGGAACUCGGCAAAAUGACCCCGUAACUUCGGGAGAAGGGGUGCUUUCUUAACGGAAAGCCGCAGUGAAUAGGCCCAAGCGACUGUUUAGCAAAAACACAGGUCUCUGCGAAGCCGUAAGGCGAAGUAUAGGGGCUGACACCUGCCCGGUGCUGGAAGGUUAAGGAGAGGGGUUAGCGUAAGCGAAGCUCUGAACUGAAGCCCCAGUAAACGGCGGCCGUAACUAUAACGGUCCUAAGGUAGCGAAAUUCCUUGUCGGGUAAGUUCCGACCCGCACGAAAGGUGUAACGAUUUGGGCACUGUCUCAACCAGAGACUCGGUGAAAUUAUAGUACCUGUGAAGAUGCAGGUUACCCGCGACAGGACGGAAAGACCCCGUGGAGCUUUACUGUAGCCUGAUAUUGAAUUUUGGUACAGUUUGUACAGGAUAGGCGGGAGCCAUUGAAACCGGAGCGCUAGCUUCGGUGGAGGCGCUGGUGGGAUACCGCCCUGACUGUAUUGAAAUUCUAACCUACGGGUCUUAUCGACCCGGGAGACAGUGUCAGGUGGGCAGUUUGACUGGGGCGGUCGCCUC
RNAcentral lists this ribosomal RNA (2289 nucleotides) under Bacillus toyonensis. Its description in RNAcentral is "partial 23S ribosomal RNA". It matches the Rfam family "Bacterial large subunit ribosomal RNA", at positions 1 to 2289 of the family's 2925-position model. Lineage: Bacteria; Bacillati; Bacillota; Bacilli; Caryophanales; Bacillaceae. The record is from RNAcentral.